This 1355-nucleotide ribosomal RNA is filed under the name uncultured bacterium. Its description in RNAcentral is "bacterial SSU rRNA". It matches the Rfam family "Bacterial small subunit ribosomal RNA", at positions 28 to 1381 of the family's 1533-position model. The record is from RNAcentral.
AUUGAACGCUGGCGGCAGGCUUAACACAUGCAAGUCGAACGAUGAUUAUCUAGCUUGCUAGAUAUGAUUAGUGGCGGACGGGUGAGUAACAUUUAGGAAUCUGCCUAGUAGUGGGGGAUAGCUCGGGGAAACUCGAAUUAAUACCGCAUACGACCUACGGGUGAAAGGGGGCGCAAGCUCUUGCUAUUAGAUGAGCCUAAAUCAGAUUAGCUAGUUGGUGGGGUAAAGGCCCACCAAGGCGACGAUCUGUAACUGGUCUGAGAGGAUGAUCAGUCACACCGGAACUGAGACACGGUCCGGACUCCUACGGGAGGCAGCAGUGGGGAAUAUUGGACAAUGGGGGCAACCCUGAUCCAGCCAUGCCGCGUGUGUGAAGAAGGCCUUUUGGUUGUAAAGCACUUUAAGCAGGGAGGAGAGGCUAAUGGUUAAUACCCAUUAGAUUAGACGUUACCUGCAGAAUAAGCACCGGCUAACUCUGUGCCAGCAGCCGCGGUAAUACAGAGGGUGCGAGCGUUAAUCGGAAUUACUGGGCGUAAAGCGAGUGUAGGUGGCUCAUUAAGUCACAUGUGAAAUCCCCGGGCUUAACCUGGGAACUGCAUGUGAUACUGGUGGUGCUAGAAUAUGUGAGAGGGAAGUAGAAUUCCAGGUGUAGCGGUGAAAUGCGUAGAGAUCUGGAGGAAUACCGAUGGCGAAGGCAGCUUCCUGGCAUAAUAUUGACACUGAGAUUCGAAAGCGUGGGUAGCAAACAGGAUUAGAUACCCUGGUAGUCCACGCCGUAAACGAUGUCUACUAGCCGUUGGGGUCCUUGAGACUUUAGUGGCGCAGUUAACGCGAUAAGUAGACCGCCUGGGGAGUACGGCCGCAAGGUUAAAACUCAAAUGAAUUGACGGGGGCCCGCACAAGCGGUGGAGCAUGUGGUUUAAUUCGAUGCAACGCGAAGAACCUUACCUGGUCUUGACAUAGUGAGAAUCCUGCAGAGAUGCGGGAGUGCCUUCGGGAAUUCACAUACAGGUGCUGCAUGGCUGUCGUCAGCUCGUGUCGUGAGAUGUUGGGUUAAGUCCCGCAACGAGCGCAACCCUUUUCCCUAUUUGCCAGCGGGUUAAGCCGGGAACUUUAAGGAUACUGCCAGUGACAAACUGGAGGAAGGCGGGGACGACGUCAAGUCAUCAUGGCCCUUACGACCAGGGCUACACACGUGCUACAAUGGUAGGUACAGAGGGUUGCUACACAGCGAUGUGAUGCUAAUCUCAAAAAGCCUAUCGUAGUCCGGAUUGGAGUCUGCAACUCGACUCCAUGAAGUCGGAAUCGCUAGUAAUCGCAGAUCAGAAUGCUGCGGUGAAUACGUUCCCGGGCCU